GUUUGUUUUGGCAGCACAUAUACUAAAAUUGAACAAUACCGAGAUUAGCUUGGCCCCUGAGCAAAGAUGACACACAAAUUCGUGAAGUGUUCCAUAUUUUU
This 101-nucleotide small nuclear RNA is filed under the name Sciurus vulgaris (Eurasian red squirrel). The record is from RNAcentral. Lineage: Eukaryota; Metazoa; Chordata; Mammalia; Rodentia; Sciuridae.